GUACACGCUGUGACUAGCAUAUCAAUAAGCGGAGGAAAAGAAACUAACAAGGAUUCCCUCAGUAACGGCGAGUGAAGCGGGAAGAGCUCAAAUUUGAAAUCUUUCAAGGUUUUACCUUGACGAAUUGUAGUUUAAAGAAGUGUUUUUCUGCUGAAGUUUUGGUAAAAGUUCUUUGGAAUAGGACAUCAUAGAGGGUGAGAAUCCCGUCUAUGAUUGCGAUUUGUAGCUUUGUGAUACACUUUCAAAGAGUCGGGUUGUUUGGGAAUGCAGCCCAAAACGGGAGGUAAAUUUCUUCUAAGGCUAAAUAUUGGCGAGAGACCGAUAGCGAACAAGUACCGUGAGGGAAAGAUGAAAAGAACUUUGAAAAGAGAGUUAAAUAGUACGUGAAAUUGUCAAAAGGGAAGCGUUUAACACCAGUGUUGUUUUCUGAAAAUCAACCUCUGUUAGCUUUAUGCAUGUUUGUUUAGACCUAAUCAGCUAUCUUGCAUGUUCUAUUGUUUGCAGUGGUGCACUUUUCAGCUUACAGGUCAACAUCAGUUUUUUUUACCGUAAAAAAGUUAAAGAAAGGUAGCUCAUGGCUCCGGUCGUGAGUGUUAUAGUCUUUUUCCUAUGCGGUAGGAGAGACUGAGGUCUGCAGUGUAGGCUAUUUGGCUAGAUACUCAGGUGCUAUGUGAUACCAUUUCAUAAACAACUCGUUGAUUAUGUUUUGUCUAUUGCAUACUCGCUUGUACUAUCAUACCUACGCUUAGGAUGUUGACGCAUGAGAUAUACGC
This 773-nucleotide ribosomal RNA is filed under the name uncultured Neocallimastigales. RNAcentral's name for it is "partial large subunit ribosomal RNA". It matches the Rfam family "Eukaryotic large subunit ribosomal RNA", at positions 22 to 645 of the family's 3401-position model. Lineage: Eukaryota; Fungi; Neocallimastigomycota; Neocallimastigomycetes; Neocallimastigales. The record is from RNAcentral.